RNAcentral lists this ribosomal RNA (230 nucleotides) under uncultured bacterium. RNAcentral's name for it is "partial 16S ribosomal RNA". It matches the Rfam family "Bacterial small subunit ribosomal RNA", at positions 563 to 791 of the family's 1533-position model. The record is from RNAcentral.
AAGAGCUCGUAGGCGGUGUGUCACGUCGGCCGUGAAAACCUGCAGCUUAACUGUGGGCGUGCGGUCGAUACGGGCAUCACUGGAGUUCGGCAGGGGAGACUGGAAUUCCUGGUGUAGCGGUGAAAUGCGCAGAUAUCAGGAGGAACACCGGUGGCGAAGGCGGGUCUCUGGGCCGAUACUGACGCUGAGGAGCGAAAGCGUGGGGAGCGAACAGGAUUAGAUACCCGAGU